This is a long non-coding RNA of Ficedula albicollis (Collared flycatcher), 157 nucleotides long. RefSeq lists it as uncharacterized. Lineage: Eukaryota; Metazoa; Chordata; Aves; Passeriformes; Muscicapidae. The transcript has 2 exons. The record is from RefSeq and is a predicted model, not a curated record.
UUUGGGAAGGACCCUCUGCUGCUGGUUCUGAUGCUCCUGAAAUGAUCACUGCCUACAACCACCAUUGUGUGUGUUGCUGUUGAGUGUUUGAAUGCUGCUGGCUCUGAGGAGCAGUAACAGAGUGACCAGGGAACAUGUCUCAGGAAGAAAAGGAAAA